GGGCUCAUGGUCCAAGAGUAAGACACCGGUCCUGCAAACCGGAGAUUCGGGCGCGAUUCCCGAUGGGUCCA
This 71-nucleotide transfer RNA is filed under the name Planctomycetota bacterium. Its description in RNAcentral is "Planctomycetes bacterium (activated sludge metagenome) tRNA-Ala". It matches the Rfam family "tRNA". Rfam says of the family: Transfer RNA (tRNA) molecules are approximately 80 nucleotides in length. The record is from RNAcentral. Lineage: Bacteria; Pseudomonadati; Planctomycetota.